Molecule: long non-coding RNA, 828 nt
Filed under: Mytilus galloprovincialis (Mediterranean mussel)
Lineage: Eukaryota; Metazoa; Mollusca; Bivalvia; Mytilida; Mytilidae
Source: RNAcentral
GUUGGUUGGUUGGUUGGUUGGUUGGUUGGUUGGUUGGUUGAAAUUCAAACACACAUAAAACUGUUUAAAUAGUGCCAAAACCACAUAAUUUGAUGACCUUGACCUUUGACCUUGUAACCUUCGUCAAGGUCAUUGCUCCACAAGGUCAUUGCAAAAGACCCUAUGGGUCAAGGACCUUUUGUUUAAGAGUUUUGCCUAAAAAUGGCCUUUUAAAAACCAUCGAUGGGAGUUAUGUCCCUUACAUGAUGGUAAAAUCAAUAUAGUCAUAAUGUAAAAAAAGUUGCCCCUUGAAGUACCAAGCAUUUUUCACUGCUUAAAUUUUUUUGUAUCUAUAACCGUUCAAGAGUUAUAGGGAAAUCAAAGACAUAUGAAAAUCUAAAAUAUGACCUUGACCUUUGACCUUGACCUAAUUUUCUAAGUUAGGAAUCAGGGGACUCAAAUAAAAACAUUCCAGGGUUAUACGGUUAACGGUUUAUGAGUUAAAAAAACAUACCGACAAAUUUAUUCCGAAAAGAUAGAUAACUCCUAUAAAAUUUCUUCGAAUCGCUUCGAUCCAAAUACGCCAAAAAUUACUGAGGAUGUAACGAACAAUUUUGUAAAAUAAAUUUGUCAUAAUCUUUAACGGUUGCGAAGGAGAUGCCAUAACAAGGAAAACAGUGUUUGGGGAGAUAACUCCUACAAAGAAAAGUAUUCGUUUACGCAGGGUAAAUUUCAAAAGCGCAUAAACUGUUCGAUAUCAUAUACAAAAUAUCUAAGCGACAUAUUGCGAAACAAAUGUUUAUCGCAAGAACAAAAUUAGGCGGAAGAAAAAAAAAAAUAAUCAGAAGA